RNAcentral lists this ribosomal RNA (495 nucleotides) under uncultured bacterium. RNAcentral's name for it is "partial 16S ribosomal RNA". It matches the Rfam family "Bacterial small subunit ribosomal RNA", at positions 29 to 506 of the family's 1533-position model. The record is from RNAcentral.
AUGAACGCUGGCGGCGUGCCUAAUACCUGCCAGUCGAGCGAACAGACGAGGAGCUUGCUCCUCUGACGUUAGCGGCGGACGGGUGAGUAACACGUGGAUAACCUACCUAUAAGACUGGGAUAACUUCGGGAAACCGGAGCUAAUACCGGAUAAUAUAUUGAACCGCAUGGUUCAAUAGUGAAAGACGGUUUUGCUGUCACUUAUAGAUGGAUCCGCGCCGCAUUAGCUAGUUGGUAAGGUAACGGCUUACCAAGGCAACGAUGCGUAGCCGACCUGAGAGGGUGAUCGGCCACACUGGAACUGAGACACGGUCCAGACUCCUACGGGAGGCAGCAGUAGGGAAUCUUCCGCAAUGGGCGAAAGCCUGACGGAGCAACGCCGCGUGAGUGAUGAAGGUCUUCGGAUCGUAAAACUCUGUUAUUAGGGAAGAACAAAUGUGUAAGUAACUAUGCACGUCUUGACGGUACCUAAUCAGAAAGCCACGGCUAACUACGU